UUUAGAGAUGUUGAUAAUGUGCUGUAUGACUGGACUGACACUCCAUCUUCAGACUAUUGUGUUUGGAGAGGAAUCGGUUGUGAUAAUGCCACCUUCAAUGUGGUUUCACUAAAUCUUUCAGGCUUGAAUCUUGAUGGGGAAAUUUCACCUGCUAUAGGGCAGCUAAAGAGUCUGGUUUCUAUUGACUUGAGGGC
Molecule: non-coding RNA, 194 nt
Organism: Salvia hispanica
Lineage: Eukaryota; Viridiplantae; Streptophyta; Magnoliopsida; Lamiales; Lamiaceae
Source: RefSeq, a predicted model, not a curated record